Molecule: ribosomal RNA, 808 nt
Filed under: Streptomyces flavovariabilis
Lineage: Bacteria; Bacillati; Actinomycetota; Actinomycetes; Kitasatosporales; Streptomycetaceae
Description: bacterial SSU rRNA
Rfam family: Bacterial small subunit ribosomal RNA
Source: RNAcentral
GUCGAACGAUGAACCACUUCGGUGGGGAUUAGUGGCGAACGGGUGAGUAACACGUGGGCAAUCUGCCCUUCACUCUGGGACAAGCCCUGGAAACGGGGUCUAAUACCGGAUAACACUUCCACUCUCCUGAGUGGAGGUUAAAAGCUCCGGCGGUGAAGGAUGAGCCCGCGGCCUAUCAGCUUGUUGGUGAGGUAAUGGCUCACCAAGGCGACGACGGGUAGCCGGCCUGAGAGGGCGACCGGCCACACUGGGACUGAGACACGGCCCAGACUCCUACGGGAGGCAGCAGUGGGGAAUAUUGCACAAUGGGCGAAAGCCUGAUGCAGCGACGCCGCGUGAGGGAUGACGGCCUUCGGGUUGUAAACCUCUUUCAGCAGGGAAGAAGCGAAAGUGACGGUACCUGCAGAAGAAGCGCCGGCUAACUACGUGCCAGCAGCCGCGGUAAUACGUAGGGCGCGAGCGUUGUCCGGAAUUAUUGGGCGUAAAGAGCUCGUAGGCGGCUUGUCACGUCGGUUGUGAAAGCCCGGGGCUUAACCCCGGGUCUGCAGUCGAUACGGGCAGGCUAGAGUUCGGUAGGGGAGAUCGGAAUUCCUGGUGUAGCGGUGAAAUGCGCAGAUAUCAGGAGGAACACCGGUGGCGAAGGCGGAUCUCUGGGCCGAUACUGACGCUGAGGAGCGAAAGCGUGGGGAGCGAACAGGAUUAGAUACCCUGGUAGUCCACGCCGUAAACGGUGGGAACUAGGUGUUGGCGACAUUCCACGUCGUCGGUGCCGCAGCUAACGCAUUAAGUUCCCCGCCUGGGGAGUACG